RNAcentral lists this ribosomal RNA (511 nucleotides) under uncultured bacterium. RNAcentral's name for it is "bacterial SSU rRNA". It matches the Rfam family "Bacterial small subunit ribosomal RNA", at positions 412 to 924 of the family's 1533-position model. The record is from RNAcentral.
UGCCCUACGGGUUGUAAACUGCUUUUAUCCGGGAAUAAACCUUUCUACGUGUAGAGAGCUGAAUGUACCGGAAGAAUAAGGAUCGGCUAACUCCGUGCCAGCAGCCGCGGUAAUACGGAGGAUCCAAGCGUUAUCCGGAUUUAUUGGGUUUAAAGGGUGCGUAGGCGGCCUGUUAAGUCAGGGGUGAAAGACGGUAGCUCAACUAUCGCAGUGCCCUUGAUACUGAUGGGCUUGAAUGGACUAGAGGUAGGCGGAAUGAGACAAGUAGCGGUGAAAUGCAUAGAUAUGUCUCAGAACACCGAUUGCGAAGGCAGCUUACUAUGGUUCUAUUGACGCUGAGGCACGAAAGCGUGGGGAUCGAACAGGAUUAGAUACCCUGGUAGUCCACGCCCUAAACGAUGAACACUCGCUGUUGGCGAUACACAGUCAGCGGCUAAGCGAAAGCGUUAAGUGUUCCACCUGGGGAGUACGGUCGCAAGAUUGAAACUCAAAGGAAUUGACGGAAUCACUA